Long non-coding RNA from Equus caballus (horse), 2714 nucleotides. The record is from Ensembl. NCBI's taxonomy places the organism in Eukaryota, Metazoa, Chordata, Mammalia, Perissodactyla, Equidae.
GCAAAACUGGCCUGGCCAGGUAGUGCUGCACCUGCUGCUGCCACGGCUGACCCAGAAACCACACUGCCUCUGCGGCAGGCCGGAACGCUGCCCACGCAGGAAGCUGUGCUGAUGCUGAUGCUGAUGCUGCUCAGCAUCCACGAGGUUAGAGACUGACUAGACGUUAGUGCCUUUGUCACCCCUGCUGGAGAAGGUCCAAAGCACCUCCACCCUGUGCUUCUAGAGGAGCAGUGUGGUGGCCCUAACAAUGCUCACGCUGCAUCAUGUACCAGAGUAUCUGCCUGGGGAUCCCCGAGGGCGGCUCAUGGCGUCAGCUCAGGAGGACAGUUGGAGAACCACUGACUGAAAUGAUGACAUUUCUUGCUUCUUUAACUGUCCAGCAGCAGCUGUGUUUAUAUUCCUGACCCGAGUCAUGGUUUUCCUUCAGGAACCGUCUGUACCUGGAAGUGCUGAGGCCUGCAAGCAGUGCGUUCAACUUCACAGUGUACCUAGAGACAGGGCCUUUGUGUGGUUUUGGAAUUGCUCUCCAUGCAUUCCCCAAGUCGUGAGCCUCCAGGUCCACUCCACCAGUUGACCUACUUUUUCAGCUGAAAGACAAUGGCCUGGCUUCCUAAAGUCCUAUGUCUAUAGAUUCCAGCCAGGUGGGACCCAAGGUGCCUAUUGAGUUAAUUUCAAAGGUGUAAUGUGUAAUGGAAGAAGGACGGGACGUGGAAUAUGGAGUUUGGAGUCAGAAGACAGGUUCAAGGCAAACUAAUCUAUGGUGUAGAAGUCAGACAGUGGUUAGGAGUUUACUGGAAAAGGGCACGAGGGGACUUUCUGGGUGAUGGAAAUGUUCCAUAUCCUUUCCUGGUGGUAGUUACACAAGUGUAUACAUUUGUCAAAUUCAUCAAACGACACUGAAGAUCUGUGUGUUUUUUACUGAAUGUAAAUUAUACAGCAGUUUUAAAAAGGGCAGGUUCAAGUCCUGGCCCUCUCUGCUACAUACUGUACAGACCACUUCUUCAUCCCUUGGCCUUGUUUUCCCACCUACAAAAUGGAAGGACCACUUGUACCUGUGCUGUGGGGGAUCGCGUACAUUAAUGAGACCGCGUGAGUCAGAAUGCUCUGCAAAUGAUAAGCAGCCCAUCCAUGGUGACUCCCAUUGUUAUGCUUUCCAGCCAGCUGCCCUCGAGAGCAGAUUACCGAGCUGGUACAAAUCUGUGGGCUCUGCUUUGCAACUUCCUUGGAGAUUAGUGUUUAUCUGUCUAUUUUAAGGAGACUCUGGAGAUAUCAAAAUGCUGCAGAAAAGCAAAUGGAAUAUGGAUUUGCCAGGGAGAGGAGAGCAGGCUGGAAAGGAACAGCUGGGGAGAGAGCCAUCAAUCCAGCACGGCAGCAGGGCCAGACGGACGCCGAGAGGGAGCCGCUAAAUGCCUGUGAGAGUCGUGACCAGUGAAAGCAGCAUAUUUCUGCCAAGAAAUGUGAUAUGUUGAAAAAGAAGAGGAAAUAUACUCUGGAGGCUGUGACUAUAAAAGGCUGUUUAAAGUGAUCGGAAUCAGUCGAGGUUCUCCCAGCAACCGUGGUUAUAAAAUUAGGAUCUUAAACUACCAAAUCUGGGUGAGAAAAAAAAACUUCAGUAAAAGCGACAUCUAAAUUUAUGUUAUAUAACUUACAUUUCCCCACAGUGUUUGUCUUUUCUCUGGGCACGUCAGACCUUUUAUGUCGUUAAUUUCCGACCCUAAGAGCCAUUCCUAUUGGAGCAAGGCAGCGAGAUGGGGUGAGGGGGCACCGUGAGAAAGCAGGGGUGUCUUUCCUGUGACCUCUGAAUUGGAAAGAGGGCGCCACGGUGAGAUGCCGACAUGUGCACGUGGGGUGUGUCAGUGUGUUGAUGCCCGUGCUCAGGAUGCUGAACAAAACCUGGGUGGGAGGAGCUUUCCCCACCCAGGCCUUUGUCUCACUGGAAAUCUGAUGCCUUAAACCUCCGCCUCAACCCUCAGUGACUCCAGUCUGUAGCUGUACUGCUCUGUUAGUCAGCCCGCACAGCAUCUGAGACUUGGCCUUUUGCAGCCUGGUGCUAGCUCCAUAGGCUUCUUCGCCCCCCUUUGUCGAGGUCUUCAGCAACAGUUGAAGCUACAACUUCUGCUCCAAGUGACUCGGGGCUGUGAAUCGUCAGAGAAUCCAUUAUUUCUCCCUGGUUUUGGAGCUGACAGACAUGGGUGUGAAGCUCAGGUCCGUCGCUUAUUGGCCAAUUAGGAAAACUCUGUGAACACUGAUUUUCUUGCCUUGAAGGAUGGCACAGAGCUGAUACGCAUGAGCUAUAAUUAGCUGCUUAACAUUUUUGCCAGUGACUUGAAUGGACCUUGAUGGUGAGAUUGCCAAGUCAGCAGGCAACCAGAAACAAACAACAGACUCAAGGUCUCAAAGACUGUGUUUUUGUCCCAAAUCAACUUUCCAAGUACAGAACUGGGGGACAUGUGAUUUAAUGGCAGCACCUGUGUGAUCCUGUGAUAUAAUAAGAAAUAUGUAUUUUGUCUUCAUCCCUCGUUCCUGGUACCAGAUCUUCUAAAACCCUUGGAAUUUCCUGAGUGACAGGGGUGACAGGAGCAUCUUUGUUAUUUAUAAUAAGCCCCUUUCAACCAUACUUGAGUUUAUGCUAAUGAAGUGACCCUUGUGGUGGUGGUGGUGGGGGGGUCCCUUGAGAGCUUCAGGAUGGGAGCUCAUCGCCUAUGUGAUUAGAG